Molecule: long non-coding RNA, 1149 nt
Filed under: Ananas comosus (pineapple)
Lineage: Eukaryota; Viridiplantae; Streptophyta; Magnoliopsida; Poales; Bromeliaceae
Description: long non-coding RNA (ACOM_LNC004307)
Source: RNAcentral
CAUUAACAUCAUCAAUUUCUUUGUCUGCCGCGACCGAACCCGCCUCGCCGUAGGUAUUUCUAAGGCGAGUAGCCAUUCAUGGUACAAAUUAAAUAUGUUUAAAUUUUAGUUUGAAAUCAGGUUUAUAGGUUUAUGGCUUCCAACAGACUCAAGAAUCUACUCUUAAUUACCCCACACUUUCAAUAUUAAGAAACCCUCGAUUAAGAGACCAAAUAUAAAUGCUGAUAAUAAAAGAGACCGAACAUGAAAAUAAAAAUUUAUUAACAUGAUUUGCCGUGUACGUGGCUUAAGCAGGGGCAUUCCUACACUAUACAUAGAAUUCAUAAAAUUAAUUACUCAAUUUAUAGACUUGAUGGUCGAUUUGGAUUAGAUUGAGAUGCUCAGUUUAGCGACAUGGCGGUCGAAUUUCGAUUGAGUUGUUCAGUUUAGCGACAUGACGGUCGAUUUGAGUUUUGAUACUCAGUUUAAUGAUAUAGCGGUCAGUUUGAGUUUUGAUACUCAAUUUAAUAACAUGGCGGUCGGAUAUUCAGUUUAAUGACUUAACAGUCCUCUGUUCAGUUUAACGAUAUGAUGGUCAAAUCUCAACUUGAUUUGCUCACUUUAGCGACUUGGCGGUCGAUUGAAGUUGAGAUACUCAGUUUAGCGACAUGGCGGUCGGUUGGGAUCAAAUUGAGAUGCUCAGUUUAGUAAUAUGGCGGUCGAUUUUAGAUUGAAUUGUUCAGUUUAGCGACUUAGCGAUCGAUUUGAGUUUUGAUACUCAGUUUAAGGACAUAGCGGUCAGAUGUUCAAUUUAACGACUUGAUGGUCAAAUAUUCAGUUUAACGACUUGAUGGUCAUAUCUGAAUUUAAUUUGCUCAGUUUAGCGACCUGGCGGUCGACUGAAAUUGAGAUGCUCAGUUUAACGGUAUGGCGGUCGAAAGGGUUUGAUUUGGUUGCUCAUUAACGACUUAGCGGUCAAAUGUUCAAUUUAAUGACUUAAUAGUCAUUUGUUCAGUUUAACAACUUAACGGUCAUAUUUGAACUUGAUUUACUCAGUUUAGCGACUUGGCGGUCGAUUUUAGAUUGAGUUGCUCAGUUUAAUGACAUGUCGAUCCGUUUGAGUCGAAUCUCAUGAAAUUGGUUCAUGAAAUUAAUUCGUAUUAGGAGCCC